ACGGAGGGUGCGAGCGUUGUUCGGAAUUAUUGGGCGUAAAGGGCGCGUAGGCGGUGCGGUAAGUCACCUGUGAAAUCUCCUGGCUCAACUGGGAGCUUGCAGGCGAAACUGCCGUGCUGGAGUGUGGUAGAGGCGAGCGGAAUUCCUGGUGUAGCGGGGGAAUGCGUAGAUAUCAGGAAGAAAACCGGUGGCGAAGGCGGCUCGCUGGGCAAGGGCUGACACUCAUCAGCGAAAGCGUGGGGAGCAAACAGGA
RNAcentral lists this ribosomal RNA (253 nucleotides) under uncultured prokaryote. RNAcentral's name for it is "partial 16S ribosomal RNA". It matches the Rfam family "Bacterial small subunit ribosomal RNA", at positions 525 to 777 of the family's 1533-position model. The record is from RNAcentral.